AUGAACUGUGACUGUGAGCGACCUGGAGAACCGCAAAUGUUUACUAAAAAUAGACAGUGCGGUUAUCCUCAGGAAUGUGGUGUAGACGAACUCGCUGAAGGUUACAUUACACUGAUAUUUUGUCACGUUUCAACAGGCUGGAAUGGGUUUGUCACGAGUACGCACAUUAGUGAGCACGAACUGGCUAAAGGAACAACUCUUCAGUAAAACUAGCAAGGGCGGACCACUCCGAGUGCUUGACACAACAUGGCAAUCCAAGGAUGAUGUUAACUUUUAUGAAGAGUACUACAAGAAAUCUCAUAUCCCAACCGCUCUGUACUUCAGUCUUGAUGAAUGUGUCCAUCCCACGAAACUGAUUCAGCGAAAUCUGCCUGAUCUGAACUGUUUCAAUCACUACAUCCAGAGGUUAGGAAUCUCUAGUGACACGCACGUGAUAGCCUAUGACCAAAUCACUGCACGAUCAUCUCUCAGAACAUGGUGGCUGUUCAGGUUGUAUGGUCAUUCGAAGAUCUCUAUGCUUGAUGGAGGUUUUAACAAGUGGCUGGAUGAUGGGUACGAAGUGUCGACAGAAGAGCCCCAAGUUGAGAAGACAGAUUAUCUUCUUAAACCAAAGUUUGAGUUAAUGCGUGACUAUGAUGCUAUGGUGCAAAAUGUGAAAAGUAAGGUCGAACAGAUUAUGGAUUCGAGAAGCUGGGAGGAAUUCUCUGGACAUAAACAGCCAGAAAAACCAGAAGAUCUGAAGACUGGGCACAUACCUGGUGCGAGAAAUAUUCCAUUUGAAGACCUUUUUAAUGAAGAUGGCACAUUCAAAUCAGACAAAGAUUUGAAAUUAUUGUUUGACAAGGCUGAGAUUGAUUUGAACAAGCCACUGGUGGCCUCCUGUAUGACUGGGUUAACAGCUUGUGGACUGGCAGCAGCCGCACACUGUCUGGGGAAGGAGAAUGUACCAGUCUACUAUGGAUCAUGGAAAGAGUGGGUACAGCGAGCAGACGACAACAUGGUUGCUGUGGUGAAAAAAGAAAGAUAAAUAAUGAAAUAUCCGAUGUUUAAUUAUACUCAAGAUAUAAUAUAUUCACAUGUUUUGUAUUUGCUUCAGUAGUAUAAAAAGACAAAGACUAAGGUUCAUAGGAACUGGGGGUUUGGAUGUCAGGACAAAAAUGUAUGUGUUUUGUGUUAAUCUUUAAAAAGAAAAACAUCUCGCUUGUGUUCCCCCUCCACUAGCGAUUGUGUCCUCACCCACCAAUUCAAAUAGUGUUCCUAUUUCAGUUAUUCCAGCCACAUUGAUAUAGAGCUCUCAAGAGGUUUUCAUUGGGACUAUAUUUUUUAAGAAUAUUAUUAACAUGAUAACUUCACCCAUUAAUGAUAUAUACACAUACUAAUAUACUUUUUUUGGUAUUUGAUUCACCCUCACCCCAUCUCCCAAAACACAAUGGUGUAUUUAGUAUUUGUGUUAACUGAUAGAAAGGAAUAAUUAUUGUCUACUAAAACAAACCUAUUUGAUUCUGAUUUGACCAGAAAUAGUCGUUAGAACUGUUGGCAUUUUUUGAAACCAUCUAACGCUAUGUAUUAGUAGAGGUGACAUGAUAUACCGAUGCAUCAAUACAUCACGAUACUACUGCUGGUGUAUUCAUUCCUAUUUUGACCAUGUAUCGAUUCCUAUAUAAAUUUUGUAUUCAUUUACCGGUAUCAAUUUGUACUGGUUAUGUACUUAUUGACAAGUUAUUUCCCCUUGCCUGCUUAUGUCAGUAUGUCUGUGAUGUGAUAUUUCUACAUGAAAACUGUGUCUAAUCAGUGUUUUACUUUUAAUCAGGUUUAUGCCUUAUAUUUAUAUCAAUUCACCUAAGCUUCAACUUCUUAUUUUACUGGGAAAACAUUGUGAAUGAGGUAUCACAAUACACAUUGUAUCAUGGGUUAAGUAUUGUGAUACGUUUUGUACUAGUAUUGCAAUAUUUGACACUAUAUUUUAGUGUACAUAUUGCAAAUUCCACCAAUUACAAACUAUUAUAAAAUGGUAAAAUUAAAACUUGUAACUACAUUUAUAUUAUAUUUAAUUUUAUUUGUCUUAGAAAUGCUUGAAAAUUACAUGCAUGUUUAACUUUCAAAAAACAUGCAUGUAAUUUUCAAGCAUUUCACUCUAGUAGAAACUUGAGUUUCAUUUAUUUAAUGUUUCCAUUGUGAGAUAGGUUACACUUACAUAAUAUAUAAUAUACAGAGAUUUUCUUGAAAAUGUUUAAUUUUAUUUUUUUCAUAAACAUGAAAUGGCAGUUGUAUUAUUUUUUGGCAGUGCAUCAAACUAUUGAGUUGAAAUUUUAUGUAUAGCUUUAUCAUGUUCUGUUAUAGAAUAGGUUUGACAUCAUGGCAAUUUACACAUUUUUCACAGUUAUGGCCCUUGACUUUUUCUUCUUUUUUUUUCUUUUGUUUUUAAGAUUUGUUUUGCUGUGCCUGAAGAUAUUGAGAUGAUUUUUUUUUAUAUAGCUUUAUCAUGUAUUGUUACAAAUCAAAUUUAAACUUUCAUGGCGAUUUACACAUUUUUUCACAGUUAUGUUUCUUGUAUUUAGGAAAUGCUAAUAUUUGUUGGGGCCCAGUAGAUGACAUGUAUUGCUUUAGCAGCACUCUCAGGACGCUUGUUUUAUUAACCUGACAGACAAUAUGGAACAAGAUAAAUGCAUCAUUACGAAGGAAGUUUGUGUCAUUAAAUGUGAUAUUAUGGGUCUGCAUAUGUGCUGACCUCACAAUGACCAUAAACACCACUAACCAUAUUGUGUGAUUUCUUAAAUUGUGGUUAGUGAUAUGUAACUGAUGGGCAAUAAUGGUGGCUGGUUGAAACUGGUUUUGGAGGGUUGCAAUUCAGGACUCUGGUGGAGCCAGUGAUAUUUAGUCAAUAGAUAAAUGUAGGUGUUCUCAAUCAUGUCACACCAAAUCUAGGUGUUCUCAAUCAUGUCGCACCAAAUCUAGGUGUUCUCAAUCAUGUCGCACCAAAUCUAGGUGUUCUCAAUCAUGUCGCACCAAAUCUAGGUGUUCUCAAUCAUGUCGCACCAAAUCUAGGUGUUCUCAAUCAUGUCGCACCAAAUCUAGGUGUUCUCAAUCAUGUCGCACCAAAUCUAGGUGUUCUCAAUCAUGUCACACCAAAUCUAGGUGUUCUCAAUCAUGUCACAUCAAAAUGUCUGGCAACAUUGCUGAUAUACUAAUACCUGCUUGAAGCAUUCCAACUGAUCUAUCGCUGUCGUUUGGAGUCAAGCAUGUCAUGGUUCAAAGGAAUAUAUUAUUUAGUAUAUACUUAAGACAUAUUUAUCUGAUAUUGCUUUAGUCACCUAGGUGGAAUCAAUUUCAUAUAACAUAAGAUCACAUUAGUUGGCCGUUUUUAUCAUCACUGCACAUUACAAAUGCAUUUUUUUAAAUAAAAUAUUUACUAGGUUUUGUCUUUAACUUAGUGGAAAAUGGAUAUAUUUGAUUUGUUUAACUAUGAUGGUAAUUACAUUACAUGUAAAAAAAAAAAAAUUAACAUGAGAUUAUGGUGUUGUAUUGUGCAAUCAAUGAAUGUCAAUAUUGAUCUUUAUUUUGAUGAAUUGACAUAAUAUUAUUGCAUGUCUAACUUAAUAAUAGUAUAUUUUAAAGUAUUUUGCUUGUUAUGAAUAUUUUUUAUUGUUAGUCGACUCUGUCCUCUUUUGGCAGUGAUAAUUAGCUUAGUCCAGUUGUUCAAAAGUAUAACUUAUUCAGUGAUUAAAAAAAAUUCUCUAAACAAAAACUUUAAUACAAUCAGCAAAGAUUUCCUAAUUUUGGAUUGCACAUUACAGCUUUACAAGGGCAUCAGAAAGAAUUUGACAUUGGGGAGGCAGAGUGUGUUAGAGGGUUGACCCCUCUAUGUGAAUGAUGUUAUUUAACUUUCAGGCAAUUCAAUGAUAAAAAUUAAUUUCUGUGUAUGUUUGAAAAAGUACAUCAUAUUAAAUGAUGUUGCUAAUAUCCUUAUGAUUGUUUAAUAUUUUUUAACAACUGUGCCAUUUUUACUAAGCAUUAAAAAAAUAUUAUAUUAUAUAUACAUGUAUUACUUACCUUGUUACCUUUAUUCUUCACUUCUAAUAUUAUAAAUUAAUUACUUUCAGUAAAAUUUGGUAUAAAAUUCCUAUAACACUGUCAUAUGAGUCUCUGUUUUUUUAAAUAGUUUUUCUAUAGUAUUUUAAAUAGCUUUUGAAAAUAAACAAUUUUUAUUACAUUUA
Molecule: unclassified non-coding RNA, 4214 nt
Filed under: Gigantopelta aegis
Lineage: Eukaryota; Metazoa; Mollusca; Gastropoda; Neomphalida; Peltospiridae
Description: thiosulfate sulfurtransferase-like, transcript variant X1
Source: RNAcentral